RNAcentral lists this ribosomal RNA (491 nucleotides) under uncultured bacterium. Its description in RNAcentral is "partial 16S ribosomal RNA". It matches the Rfam family "Bacterial small subunit ribosomal RNA", at positions 29 to 507 of the family's 1533-position model. The record is from RNAcentral.
AGUGAACGCUGGCGGUAGGCCUAACACAUGCAAGUCGAACGGCAGCACAGUAAGAGCUUGCUCUUACGGGUGGCGAGUGGCGGACGGGUGAGGAAUACAUCGGAAUCUACUUUUUCGUGGGGGAUAACGUAGGGAAACUUACGCUAAUACCGCAUACGACCUACGGGUGAAAGCAGGGGAUCUUCGGACCUUGCGCGAUUGAAUGAGCCGAUAUCGGAUUAGCUAGUUGGCGGGGUAAAGGCCCACCAAGGCGACGAUCCGUAGCUGGUCUGAGAGGAUGAUCAGCACACUGGAACUGAGACACGGUCCAGACUCCUACGGGAGGCAGCAGUGGGGAAUAUUGGACAAUGGGCGCAAGCCUGAUCCAGCCAUACCGCGUGGGUGAAGAAGGCCUUCGGGUUGUAAAGCCCUUUUGUUGGGAAAGAAAAGCAGCAGGUUAAUACCCCGCUGUUCUGACGGUACCCAAAGAAUAAGCACCGGCUAACUUCGUG